Molecule: ribosomal RNA, 118 nt
Filed under: Dehalococcoidales bacterium
Lineage: Bacteria; Bacillati; Chloroflexota; Dehalococcoidia; Dehalococcoidales
Source: RNAcentral
UCUGGUGGUUAGAGCGAGGUGGCACCACCCGUUCCCAUCCCGAACACGGAAGUGAAACGCCUUAGCGCCGACGAUACUGAGAGAGUAGUCUCUUGUGGAAAAUAUGCCACUGCCAGAG